CGGCGGCCGGCGGGCCUGCGAGGGCCGUUUGUUUGAUGGACGAGCCGGUCGGACGACGGAUGGGGUGCCGAUUGGAGACGACGCCAAUCUCGCUCUCCUCCGAUCAACUCGUCAUCUGCACGCUGCGCCCCAUGACUUGUGGCGUGUGGAUGUCGCAGUUCAGAGUGAGCUGAGACACCGAGAGGAGUCUGCUUUUUUAAUUGAGCGAGGCUGUACCCCGACUCACCAUGCUGGACCUGCGUGCUCUGCUGAUGGCGACUCUGCUGAUGGCGCUGCUGGGCUCCGGCGCUGCCUACGAUGACUUCGGCCCGGUGAUGGUGUCCUCCGCGGAGAAGGCCAGCGGUGCGCUGCUGGUGGUGAUCACCGGACUCCUGGCCGCCCUCCGUCUGCUGUGACCCCCGCGUGUGACCUUUGUGACCUCUGCUUGGUACGGCAGACCUGGCAUUGGCUGUCCACGCGUAAGCGUAGCGCAAGUAGCUGUCGCAUGAUUAUUCUAUUUGGCAUCAAGGAGGCGUGAAUACAAAACAGCAAUCAAUUAUGCUUCAGUUACUGAUUUUUAGUCAAUUUCUAAGUCGACUAUAAAUGUAUGAAAGAUGAAACUUAAAGGGGAUCAAAUGGAUAGCUACGAC
Long non-coding RNA from Amphibalanus amphitrite, 629 nucleotides. RefSeq lists it as uncharacterized. NCBI's taxonomy places the organism in Eukaryota, Metazoa, Arthropoda, Thecostraca, Balanomorpha, Balanidae. The transcript has 3 exons. The record is from RefSeq and is a predicted model, not a curated record.